GAUGAAGAACGUAGCGAAAUGCGAUACGUAAUGUGAAUUGCAGAAUUCAGUGAAUCAUCGAAUCUUUGAACGCACAUUGCGCCCGCCAGCAUUCUGGCGGGCAUGCCUGUUCGAGCGUCAUUUCAACCCUCGAGCCCCCCCGGGGGCCUCGGUGUUGGGGGACGGCACACCAGCCGCCCCCGAAAUGCAGUGGCGACCCCGCCGUAGCCUCCCCUGCGUAGUAGCACACACCUCGCACCGGAGCGCGGAGGCGGUCACGCCGUAAAACGCCCAACUUUCUUAGAGUUGACCUCGGAUCAGGUAGGAAUACCCGCUGAACUUAAGCAUAUCAAUAAGCGGAGGA
This 343-nucleotide unclassified non-coding RNA is filed under the name soil metagenome. RNAcentral describes it as "partial contains 5.8S ribosomal RNA, internal transcribed spacer 2, and large subunit ribosomal RNA". The stretch from base 1 to 120 matches the Rfam family "5.8S ribosomal RNA", at positions 35 to 154 of the family's 154-position model. The record is from RNAcentral.